AAGGACCCCGGGAGGGGAGUGAAAGAGAACCUGAAACCUUGUGCUUACAAACAGUCAAAGGCCUACGGGCUGAUGGCGUACUUUUUGUAGAACGGUCCGGCGAGUUACUAAUGCCAGCGAGGUUAAGAUGUCAGAAGCAUCGGAGCCGAAGGGAAACCAAGUCUGAAUAGGGCGUAGAGUUGGUAUUAGUAGACCCGAAACCGGGUGACCUAUCCAUGUCCAGGUUGAAGGAACCGUAAAAGGUUUUGGAGGACCGAACACACAUGUGUUGAAAAACGUGGUGAUGAGGUGUGGAUAGCGGAGAAAUUCCAAUCGAACUCGGAGAUAGCUGGUUCUCCUCGAAAUAGUUUUAGGACUAGCCUUGUUUAGUAGUAUGUGGGGGUAGAGCACUGAAUGAGCUAGGGGCCAAACCAGGUUACUGAACUCUAUCAAACUCCGAAUACCAUGUACGUAAGAACAGGAGUCAGACUGCGGGAGCUAAGUUCCGUGGUCAAAAGGGAAAGAGCCCAGAUCGUCAAUUAAGGUCCCAAAGAUAUAGUUAAGUGGAAAACGAUGUGAUUUUGCGUAAACAACCAGGAUGUUGGCUUAGAAGCAGCCAUUCAUUUAAAGAGUGCGUAAUAGCUCACUGGUCGAGUGGAGUUGCGCGGAAAAUUACCGGGGCUAAACUAUACACCGAAAUUGCGGAUUCAUGAGUAAUCAUGAGUGGUAGAGGAGCAUUCUAUAGUAGGACGAAGGUAGAUCGAAAGGACUGCUGGACGAGAUAGAAGAGAGAAUGCCGGAAUAAGUAGCGAAAGCAUGGUGAGAAUCCAUGCCAUCGAAAGUCUAAGGUUUCCUGGGGAAGGUUCGUCCGCCCAGGGUAAGUCGGGACCUAAGGAGAGGCCGAAAGGCGUAUCUGAUGGACAGCAGGUAGAAAUUCCUGCACCACCGAUAUACUUAAAAAAUGCAAGGGACACAGUAGUGGAAGGAAAGCGAGGAAGAGGAAAGACUCGUAUCGAAAGAUAUAGUGAAAAAAUAAGUAACGAAUUUCCAAGAAGCACACUGGCGAGAAAAGCUUGUAGGAAUUGUAUAAAGGUGCCCGUACCGCAAACCGACACAGGUAGAUGAGGAGAGGAUCCUAAGAUGAGCGAGAGAAGCAUUGUUAAGGAACUCGGCAAAUUGACCCCGUAACUUAGGGAGAAGGGGUGCCAAAGUAAAAUUUGGUCGCAGAGAAGAGGCCCAAGCAACUGUUUAACAAAAACACAGGUUUCUGCUAAAUCGAAAGAUGAAGUAUAGGAGCUGACGCCUGCCCAGUGCUGGAAGGUUAAGGGGAAGAGUUAGAUGUAAGUCGAAGCUUAGAACCAAAGCCCCAGUGAACGGCGGCCGUAACUAUAACGGUCCUAAGGUAGCGAAAUUCCUUGUCAGGUAAGUUCUGACCCGCACGAAAGGCGUAAUGAUUUGGGCGCUGUCUCGACAAUGUACUCGGCGAAAUUGUAGUACUAGUGAAGAUGCUAGUUACCUGCGACAAGACAGAAAGACCCCAUGGAGCUUUACUGUAGCUUGAUACUGGGUUUCGAUAAUUUAUGUACAGGAUAGGUGGGAGGCGAAGAAGCAAUUGCGCCAGCAGUUGUGGAGUCAUCCUUGGGAUACCACCCUUAAGUUAUUGAAAUUCUAACCUGUAGUCCUGAGCGGGCUAGGGGACAAUGUCAGGCGGGCAGUUUGACUGGGGCGGUCGCCUCCAAAAGAGUAACGGAGGCGCGCAAAGGUUUCCUCAGCGCGGACAGAAAUCGCGCGAAAGAGUGCAAAGGCAGAAGGAAGCUUAACUGAGAGACUGACAAGUCGACCAGAUACGAAAGUAGGUCUUAGUGAUCCGGCGGUAGUGAGUGGAAAUGCCGUCGCUCAACGGACAAAAGUUACCCUGGGGAUAACAGGCUUAUCUCCCCCAAGAGUUCACAUCGACGGGGAGGUUUGGCACCUCGAUGUCGGCUCAUCACAUCCUGGAGCGGAAGUACGUUCCAAGGGUUGGGCUGUUCGCCCAUUAAAGUGGUACGCGAGCUGGGUUCAGAACGUCGUGAGACAGUUCGGUCCUUAUCUGUCGCAGGCGAAGGAUAUUUGAGGGGAGUUGACCUUAGUACGAGAGGACCAGGUUGAACUUACCAAUGGUGUAUCAGUUGUCGUACCAACGGCACGGCUGAGUAGCUAAGUAGGGAAGGGAUAAACGCUGAAAGCAUCUAAGUGUGAAGCCCACCCCAAGAUAAGAUAUCCCAUACCGUAAGGUAGU
This 2257-nucleotide ribosomal RNA is filed under the name metagenome. Its description in RNAcentral is "bacterial LSU rRNA". It matches the Rfam family "Bacterial large subunit ribosomal RNA", at positions 519 to 2829 of the family's 2925-position model. The record is from RNAcentral.